GAUGAACGCUGGCGGCGUGCCUAAUACAUGCAAGUCGAGCGAACGGACGAGAAGCUUGCUUCUCUGAUGUUAGCGGCGGACGGGUGAGUAACACGUGGAUAACCUACCUAUAAGACUGGGAUAACUUCGGGAAACCGGAGCUAAUACCGGAUAAUAUUUUGAACCGCAUGGUUCAAAAGUGAAAGACGGUCUUGCUGUCACUUAUAGAUGGAUCCGCGCUGCAUUAGCUAGUUGGUAAGGUAACGGCUUACCAAGGCAACGAUGCAUAGCCGACCUGAGAGGGUGAUCGGCCACACUGGAACUGAGACACGGUCCAGACUCCUACGGGAGGCAGCAGUAGGGAAUCUUCCGCAAUGGGCGAAAGACUGACGGAGCAACGCCGAGUGAGUAAUGAAGGUCUUCGGAUCGUAAAACUCUGUUAUUAGGGAAGAACAUAUGUGUAAGUAACUGUGCACAUCUUGACGGUACCUAAUCAGAAAGCCACGGCUAACUACGUG
Molecule: ribosomal RNA, 497 nt
Filed under: uncultured bacterium
Lineage: Bacteria
Description: partial 16S ribosomal RNA
Rfam family: Bacterial small subunit ribosomal RNA
Source: RNAcentral